Cicer arietinum (chickpea) is the source of this 2495-nucleotide non-coding RNA. The record is from RefSeq and is a predicted model, not a curated record. NCBI's taxonomy places the organism in Eukaryota, Viridiplantae, Streptophyta, Magnoliopsida, Fabales, Fabaceae.
AAGUCAAAUCAUAUAUCAUCGAUUUGAAUUUUUCUGUUUUGAGAUUUUGAAUUGCAGGGAUUGUGUUCCUAUGACCACAAUUGUUUUGUUUGGGUUAUGAAGUUUUUUUAAUGGUAUUUUGGUUGUUUGAUUAGCUAUAAUAUGCACGUCAUUUGUUUAUGCUUGUGUAUCUGGGGUUUCAAUUUGAUGAGUAGUGCUUAGUUCUUGGAUUAUGUUAUUUUACUUUUUAUUAUUAUGUUGUUCUUAGCCGGGGAUCAUGAGUUUUAAUUUAUUUGCAUGUGAAUUUGCUGCUAUCUCUAGUAGGUUGUCUAAUAAAUUAAACUUGGCUUGGAGUGUUAGGAUCAAUAGAAAUGGUUUGUUGUUAGUUUGAAACUCUGUCUACAUGAGACCGAGGAAACAUAGAGGAGGAACUUGGAUGAACUUAAAGUUGUGGAACAUUCGAAUUACAAUUACAAUAAAAUGUAAAAGAGAAUGCAAGAUGAGAUUGAUGGUUUGUUGCAAAGAAUGGAGGCAACAAAGCAGCAAUGGGUUUAACUUUUUAAUUUUAUUAUUAUUUUGUUUUCUGAUUCAGGAUACUGCUAGAAACAUGUUUAAUUUAUUGAACUUCUGUUUGGUUUCCAGAAUAUAUGAUUUUCAAUUUAUAAAUUCAUGAUAUUUGUUUAUUUAUGGAACCACAAAAGGUCAAGUUAAUAUUCACAUGCUCAAGUUUCUUCCUAUACUCCUUCAAAUUUCUAGUAAAGUUAUAUUGGGUUUUUAUUUUAUUUUUAAUGCUAAUGACAAAUGACCAGAGUUAAUUAUAAUUAUUAAGUAUGAUUACCCUAUAAUUUUGUAUAUUUUCCUAUUUGAGUAUUUAUGUAUCCUGUUAAAAUUAAUGUUUGGUUUGUGUACUGCUUUUUAGUCUUCACAAGCAUAAAGUGAAUAGUAAUCAUGUGAAGAGAAAGCAGUACCUAUAGUAUUCUUUAAUUGCUGCCAUGGACAUGUUAUGUAGUCGCUCUUCUGACCAACCCUUUUCUGAGGAGGUAUUCUGGAAUCCUACUGUCCCUUGUGCAUGGGCAAGAGGUGGAUUUACAACAAGUCUAUCAAUAAUCCUAUCUACAUUUCUCAAGUUCUCGUUACCGUAAUUCAUAUUAUGCUCUCCAACAGGUGCAACUCAUUAGCUAUGAUGAAUUGAAUUCUCUCCCUCUCUUCUGUUAAUCAAUGCUCUUUUUAUUAUCAUAUUUAGGGUUUUUAUUUUCUUUUUUUUUGUUUAAUAAUAUUAUGUGAAAGCUGUUGUGAAAUAUGAUAUAAGACUGUUUGUUUGUCUUUGAAUCCUGUUUGGUUGCUGUGGCAGAUGAAAAUGUGUUAAAAAUUUGAGAAAUCAUUUAUCUGCUUUUAAAGAUUUAGCAGACAGUGUUAUGUUGCUUGAACUGAUAGUAGAUGCAGAGUGGAGGGAAAAAGUUGAAGCUAGUCAUGAGAGUGAUUCUGAAGAAGGAACCACUCACAAUCACAUUUAUGGCAUUAUUAUUCAUUUUAUAUAUAUUUAUAUGCUUUACAAAUGGAGAAGGCCACUAUCUUUUUGAAUUAUUAUUUCUGUGUUACAGACUUAGAAAGCUUUUGUGCUUUACUAAUAUUAAUAUUAAUUGUGAUGUUGAUUUGCAUAUUCUGUUGUUUUUUUCGGCUCAAAGAACAAAGGGAAGAGAAAGAGAUCUGGUAAAUGUGGAAAUCGCUUAUGGAAAUCCAUUGGUCUUGGAUUCAAGACUUCCAGAGAACCACUAAAGGAAUUUUCUUUGGAGACUAGUCAGGACAUUAUCCAACCAUCGGCAACUUGAGGAAAAAAGGUCUGAUGAUUGAUGUUACCUUCCCUGUAUGGAAUUCCAAUCCUGAGUCGGGUGACCACUUGUUUAUGCACUGCACUGCUGCAAAGCGAGUCUGGUUUGCUCGCUACUGAGAGCUCACGUACCAAGUGAGACUGAUAAUAACCUGGAUGAAGAGCUAGAUUACUUGCAAGGAAAAACUUGGAUCGCAACUGGUUUGUGCAACUCUGGAAGAUUUGGAAUGAGAGAAAUCUAAUUCUGUUUAAAACACUUAAUGUCAAAUCUUAUGGAGGUGGCUAGGAGUGCUUGUGAUUUUGUCUCAAAUUUUAACCAAGCAGGGGAAUGACAUUCUGCAGGAAAGCAUACCAUAAAUCAGAACUGUCACUGCUAAUUUUACUGCACAGGUUGAUGAGGGGGCUGUCUGGAUGGCCCUACCACGUGGGGAUGUGUUUUUAAAGAUCCAAUGGGUGUUGUUUCUUUGGCAGCUUGCAGAAAAGAAUGCAUUGCCUCAGAUUCGUAUACGGCAGAAGCUCUUGGUGUGUGCUGGUGCCUUCAAUUGGCAGCCGAACAAAAUAUCUAAAGCAUAGAAGUGUAAUUGGAUUGUAAUGAUCUGAUGUUUAGUUUUAGACAUGCUUCUGACAGUUUCAUUGGUAGACAAAAUAAUGUAGAGAGAGGCCCAUAAGUUGGCAAAGUUAGCAAAAA